AGAGUUUGAUCCUGGCUCAGGAUGAACGCUAAGGCUUAACACAUGCAAGUCGAACGGCAGCACGGGUGCUUGCACCUGGUGGCGAGUGGCGAACGGGUGAGUAAUAUAUCGGAACGUACCUUAUUGUGGGGGAUAACGCAGCGAAAGCUGUGCUAAUACCGCAUAAUCCCUAAGGGGGAAAGCGGGGGACCGUAAGGCCUCGCGCAAUUAGAGCGGCCGAUACCUGAUUAGCUAGUUGGUGAGGUAAAGGCUCACCAAGGCAACGAUCAGUAGCUGGUCUGAGAGGACGAUCAGCCACACUGGGACUGAGACACGGCCCAGACUCCUACGGGAGGCAGCAGUGGGGAAUUUUGGACAAUGGGGGCAACCCUGAUCCAGCAAUGCCGCGUGAGUGAAGAAGGCCUUCGGGUUGUAAAGCUCUUUUGUCAGGGAAGAAACAGCAGCUCUAACACAGUUUGCGAAUGACGGUACCUGAAGAAUAAGCACCGGCUAACUACGUGCCAGCAGCCGCGGUAAUACGUAGGGUGCAAGCGUUAAUCGGAAUUACUGGGCGUAAAGCGUGCGCAGGCGGUUAUGUAAGACAGGCGUGAAAUCCCCGGGCUUAACCUGGGAAUUGCGCUUGUGACUGCAUAGCUAGAGUAUGUCAGAGGGGGGUAGAAUUCCACGUGUAGCAGUGAAAUGCGUAGAGAUGUGGAGGAAUACCAAUGGCGAAGGCAGCCCCCUGGGAUAAUACUGACGCUCAUGCACGAAAGCGUGGGGGAGCAAACAGGAUUAGAUACCCUGGUAGUCCACGCCCUAAACGAUGCUGACUAGUUGUUCGGGAAUUUAUUCCUGAGUAACGUAGCUAACGCGUGAAGUCAGCCGCCUGGGGAGUACGGUCGCAAGAUUAAAACUCAAAGGAAUUGACGGGGACCCGCACAAGCGGUGGAUGAUGUGGAUUAAUUCGAUGCAACGCGAAAA
This 960-nucleotide ribosomal RNA is filed under the name uncultured beta proteobacterium. RNAcentral describes it as "bacterial SSU rRNA". It matches the Rfam family "Bacterial small subunit ribosomal RNA", at positions 8 to 967 of the family's 1533-position model. The record is from RNAcentral. Lineage: Bacteria; Pseudomonadati; Pseudomonadota; Betaproteobacteria.